UGGGGAAUAUUGCACAAUGGGCGCAAGCCUGAUGGAGCAACACCGCGUGGGUGAAGAAGGGUUUCGGCUCGUAAAGCUCUGUUGUUAAAGAAGAACACGUAUGAGAGUAACUGUUCAUACGUUGACGGUAUUUAACCAGAAAGUCACGGCUAACUACGUGCCAGCAGCCGCGGUAAUACGUAGGUGGCAAGCGUUAUCCGGAUUUAUUGGGCGUAAAGAGAGUGCAGGCGGUUUUCUAAGUCUGAUGUGAAAGCCUUCGGCUUAACCGGAGAAGUGCAUCGGAAACUGGAUAACUUGAGUGCAGAAGAGGGUAGUGGAACUCCAUGUGUAGCGGUGGAAUGCGUAGAUAUAUGGAAGAACACCAGUGGCGAAGGCGGCUACCUGGUCUGCAACUGACGCUGAGACUCGAAAGCAUGGGUAGCGAACAGGAUUAGAUACCCUGGUAGUCCAUACCGUAAACGAUGAGUGCUAGGUGUUGGAGGGUUUCCGCCCUUCAGUGCCGGAGCUAACGCAUUAAGCACUCCGCCUGGGGAGUACGACCGCAAGGUUG
This 550-nucleotide ribosomal RNA is filed under the name uncultured bacterium. Its description in RNAcentral is "bacterial SSU rRNA". It matches the Rfam family "Bacterial small subunit ribosomal RNA", at positions 355 to 896 of the family's 1533-position model. The record is from RNAcentral.